RNAcentral lists this ribosomal RNA (245 nucleotides) under uncultured Methylocystis sp. RNAcentral's name for it is "partial 16S ribosomal RNA". It matches the Rfam family "Bacterial small subunit ribosomal RNA", at positions 524 to 768 of the family's 1533-position model. The record is from RNAcentral. Lineage: Bacteria; Pseudomonadati; Pseudomonadota; Alphaproteobacteria; Hyphomicrobiales; Methylocystaceae.
UACGAAGGGGGCUAGCGUUGUUCGGAUUUACUGGGCGUAAAGCGCACGUAGGCGGAUCUUUAAGUCAGGGGUGAAAUCCCGAGGCUCAACCUCGGAACUGCCUUUGAUACUGGAGGUCUCGAGUCCGGGAGAGGUGAGUGGAACUGCGAGUGUAGAGGUGAAAUCCGUAGAUAUUCGAAGGAACACCGGUGGCGAAGGCGGCUACCUGGACCGAUACUGACGCUGAGACGCGAAAGCGUGGGGAG